UGGCAGAGAGGUCACACCCGUUCCCAUACCGAACACGGAAGUUAAGCUCUCUAGCGCCGAUGGUAGUUGGGACCUUGUCCCUGUGAGAGUAGGACGUUGCCAGGCU
Molecule: ribosomal RNA, 106 nt
Filed under: Streptococcus pneumoniae
Lineage: Bacteria; Bacillati; Bacillota; Bacilli; Lactobacillales; Streptococcaceae
Source: RNAcentral